UUGGAGGGCAAGUCUGGUGCCAGCAGCCGCGGUAAUUCCAGCUCCAAUAGCGUAUAUUAAAGUUGUUGCAGUUAAAAAGCUCGUAGUUGAAUUUCGGGAUCAAUUUAUCGGUCGUGCCUCUGGUAUGCACUGGUAUUAUUGAUUUCUACCUUCUGACGAACCAUGAUGUCAUUAAUUUGGUGUCAUGGGGAAUCAGGACUGUUACUUUGAAAAAAUUAGAGUGUUUAAAGCAAGCACACGCUUGAAUACAUUGGCAUGGAAUAAUGAAAUAGGACGUUUGACCCUAUUUUGUUGGUUUCUAGGAUCGACGUAAUGAUUAAUAGGGAUAGUUGGGGGCAUUAGUAUUCAAUUGUCAGAGGUGAAAUUCUUGGAUUUAUUGAAGACUAACUACUGCGAAAGCAUUUGCCAAGGAUGUUUUCAUUAAUCAAGAACGAAAGUUAGGGGAUCGAAGACGAUCAGAUACCGUCGUAGUCUUAACCAUAAACUAUGCCGACUAGGGAUCGGAUGAUGUUAAUUUUUUAAUGACUCAUUCGGCGCCUUACGGGAAAC
RNAcentral lists this ribosomal RNA (549 nucleotides) under uncultured Glomeromycotina. RNAcentral describes it as "SSU rRNA". It matches the Rfam family "Eukaryotic small subunit ribosomal RNA", at positions 548 to 1098 of the family's 1831-position model. Lineage: Eukaryota; Fungi; Glomeromycota. The record is from RNAcentral.